RNAcentral lists this ribosomal RNA (449 nucleotides) under uncultured bacterium. Its description in RNAcentral is "partial 16S ribosomal RNA". It matches the Rfam family "Bacterial small subunit ribosomal RNA", at positions 29 to 523 of the family's 1533-position model. The record is from RNAcentral.
AAUGAACGCUGGCGGCAGGCCUAACACAUGCAAGUCGAACGAGGUAGCAAUACCUAGUGGCGGACGGGUGAGUAACGCGUGGGAACGUGCCCCUUGGUACGGAAUAGCUCUGGGAAACUGGGAGUAAUACCGUAUGUGGUCGAGAGACGAAAGAUUUAUCGCCAAGGGAUCGGCCCGCGUUGGAUUAGGUAGUUGGUGGGGUAAUGGCCAACCAAGCCGAGGAUCCAUAGCUGGUUUGUUAGGAUGAUCAGCCACACUGGGACUCAGACACGGCCCAGACUGCUACGGGGGGCAGCAGUGGGGAAUCUUAGACAAUGGGGGAAACCCUGAUCUAGCCAUGCCGCGUGAUCGAUGAAGGCCUUAGGGUUGUAAAGAUCUUUCAGUGGGGAAGAUAAUGACGGUACCCACAGAAGAAGCCCCGGCUAACUCCGUGCCAGCCGCCGCAGUAA